This 387-nucleotide ribosomal RNA is filed under the name Chondrina avenacea. Its description in RNAcentral is "partial 12S ribosomal RNA". Lineage: Eukaryota; Metazoa; Mollusca; Gastropoda; Stylommatophora; Chondrinidae. The record is from RNAcentral.
UAGGAUUAGAGACCCUACUAUAACUGGGAUUAGAUACCCCACUAUUUUAGUCCAAAAAAUAAAUAGAAGUUUACUCAAAGCUUAUGGCGGCUUUUUAAGAACUUAGGGGAACUUACCAGAUAAUAGAUAACCACCUACAAAAUCUUCCUUUCUAAUUAGUUUGUAUGCCGUCGUUGUUAUCUUUUUUUAAAAAAAAGAUAAAAAAAUUUUUCAGUUUUAAUAACAGAUCAAGGUGCAGCUUAUAAAAAGGACUUAAGGCGAGUUACAAUAAAAUUUUAUCUUCUUUAAUCUUUUAGUAUAAUAGAUUAUAGAUGGACUUAAAAGUAAAAAGGCCUAAAAUUGCCUUUUUAAUAUUAUUUAUUUGGUGUACAAAUCGCCCGUCACUCU